GGUGCUAACGUCCGUCGUGAAGAGGGAAACAACCCAGACCGCCAGCUAAGGUCCCAAAGUCAUGGUUAAGUGGGAAACGAUGUGGGAAGGCCCAGACAGCCAGGAUGUUGGCUUAGAAGCAGCCAUCAUUUAAAGAAAGCGUAAUAGCUCACUGGUCGAGUCGGCCUGCGCGGAAGAUGUAACGGGGCUAAACCAUGCACCGAAGCUGCGGCAGCGACACUGUGUGUUGUUGGGUAGGGGAGCGUUCUGUAAGCCUGUGAAGGUGUGUCGUGAGGCAUGCUGGAGGUAUCAGAAGUGCGAAUGCUGACAUAAGUAACGAUAAAGCGGGUGAAAAGCCCGCUCGCCGGAAGACCAAGGGUUCCUGUCCAACGUUAAUCGGGGCAGGGUGAGUCGACCCCUAAGGCGAGGCCGAAAGGCGUAGUCGAUGGGAAACGGGUUAAUAUUCCCGUACUUGGUGUUACUGCGAAGGGGGGACGGAGAAGGCUAUGUUGGCCGGGCGACGGUU
Molecule: ribosomal RNA, 505 nt
Filed under: Salmonella enterica
Lineage: Bacteria; Pseudomonadati; Pseudomonadota; Gammaproteobacteria; Enterobacterales; Enterobacteriaceae
Also listed under: 2 other names
Description: partial 23S ribosomal RNA
Rfam family: Bacterial large subunit ribosomal RNA
Source: RNAcentral